This is a long non-coding RNA of Panicum virgatum (switchgrass), 712 nucleotides long. RefSeq lists it as uncharacterized. NCBI's taxonomy places the organism in Eukaryota, Viridiplantae, Streptophyta, Magnoliopsida, Poales, Poaceae. The transcript is spliced from 2 exons. The record is from RefSeq and is a predicted model, not a curated record.
GCCUACCUCUCACCGGGCAUAUUUUGUGCCUCGUCUCUUAUUUUAAGCAAACCUUAUCCUCUCAUUCUUCACCACGCGCACACUCUUCUCUCCAGUCUUCACUCUCUCAGAUUCCGGCAAGGCUUUGGCCCUCUCUUCUCUCCUGAGAUCCCGGCGGGCCUCCGAGGCAAGCGGCGCUGUUGAAUUCGUGGCGCGAGCUCGCGCAGCAGUGUACGAGGCAGAGCGGAGCUAGUGGUGCCAUGCGGAUCUAGCGGCUCACCCCAGCGGCAUCGGCGACCUCACGCGUCGGAGCAACAUUCGCUCCGCCCUGGCAAGCGAGUGGUGUGGUGGUCGAAGGCAAGAGAUCCGCCGCUACUGCUCGCAUGCAGGUAUGCGGCUGUGGGAAUUACUUCCGGUUUGCAAUUGAGGAGCGCAAGUGCUUCGGAAUUUCGGAUGCAGCGGAACAAGCAAUGCAAGUUUACAGAUGUUUUUUACUUCAUGCGCCAAUAGAGAGAUUGAAGUCUGUGCUGUCCAAGUUAGCUCAAUAAUCUUGUGGUGCUGUAGGGAUGUUAUGUUGGAGAUGUAGACUGUAACAUAUGAACAACAUCAUGUAGGUUUGUGCGACAAUAUUUUUAGUAGUUGAUGACCAUUCAUGCUUGUAUUCUAAUAAUGCAAGUCCAAAAUUGUAUGAAUCAAUGAAUGUCAAUUGGAUGGAGCCAGUGCUUAUUAUUAA